AUUGAACGCUGGCGGCAUGCUUUACACAUGCAAGUCGAACGGUAACAGGCCUUCGGGUGCUGACGAGUGGCGAACGGGUGAGUAAUGCAUCGGAACGUACCCAGAGGUGGGGGAUAACGCAGCGAAAGCUGUGCUAAUACCGCAUGUGAUCUGAGGAUGAAAGCGGGGGACCGAGCAGCAAUGUUUGGCCUCGCGCCUUUGGAGCGGCCGAUGUCGGAUUAGCUAGUUGGUGGGGUAAAGGCCUACCAAGGCGACGAUCCGUAGCUGGUCUGAGAGGACGACCAGCCACACUGGGACUGAGACACGGCCCAGACUCCGACGGGAGGCAGCAGUGGGGAAUUUUGGACAAUGGGCGCAAGCCUGAUACAGCAAUGCCGCGUGAGGGAAGAAGGCCUUCGGGUUGUAAACCGCUUUUGGCAGGAACGAAACGGUGUCCGCUAAUACCGGGCGCUAAUGACGGUACCUGCAGAAUAAGCACCGGCUAACUACGUG
Molecule: ribosomal RNA, 492 nt
Filed under: uncultured bacterium
Lineage: Bacteria
Description: partial 16S ribosomal RNA
Rfam family: Bacterial small subunit ribosomal RNA
Source: RNAcentral